AAAGUCGUAACAAGGUUUCCGUAGGUGAACCUGCGGAAGGAUCAUUAUCACGUAUCCACGUAUAAACCAAAACCGCGAACUGUCUUUAGCCUUUGGAAGUUCUAGCUGAGAUUAGUGUCUGUUCAUUGUGUGAUUUUGAACGACUUUUCUUGAUUUGAUGUUUUAGCUCCGGCUUUUUCAUCAUAACAUGGCUUUACUUCUGAAGUGUAUUAACAAAUCUAAAUCACACUUUAACUAUUAACCAAUUGAACCAUUAUUGUUUUUCUUUGUGUGAACUGAAUUGUUUCUUACUCUGAAAAUGCAAAUUUUCUGGAGAAGAAAUUCUUUACGAAACAAAAGAACAACUCUUAGCAACGGAUAUCUUGGUUCUC
RNAcentral lists this unclassified non-coding RNA (371 nucleotides) under Cercozoa sp. RNAcentral's name for it is "partial contains small subunit ribosomal RNA, internal transcribed spacer 1, and 5.8S ribosomal RNA". The stretch from base 1 to 47 matches the Rfam family "Eukaryotic small subunit ribosomal RNA", at positions 1785 to 1831 of the family's 1831-position model. The record is from RNAcentral. Lineage: Eukaryota; Cercozoa.